RNAcentral lists this ribosomal RNA (536 nucleotides) under uncultured bacterium. RNAcentral's name for it is "bacterial SSU rRNA". It matches the Rfam family "Bacterial small subunit ribosomal RNA", at positions 196 to 722 of the family's 1533-position model. The record is from RNAcentral.
CGCCCGCAAGGGGCUCUCACCACGAGAUGAGUCCGCGGCCCAUCAGCUAGUUGGCGGUGUAAUAGACCACCAAGGCUAAGACGGGGUAGCUGGUCUGAGAGGAUGACCAGCCACACUGGGACUGAGACACGGCCCAGACUCCUACGGGAGGCAGCAGUGGGGAAUAUUGGACAAAUGGGCGAAAGCCUGAUCCAGCCAUGCCGCGUGAGUGAUGAAGGUCUUCGGAUCGUAAAAGCUCUGUGGGAAGGGACGAAAAAGCCUAACCUAAUACGUUAGGUCUUGACGGUACCUUCUUAGCAAGCACCGGCUAAACUCCGUGCCAGCAGCCGCGGUAAUACGGAGGGGUGCAAACGUUGCUCGGAAUUAUUGGGCGUAAAAGCGCACGUAGGCGGUCCGCUAAGUCGGAUGUGAAAGCCCUCGGCUUAACCGAGGAAGUGCAUCCGAAACUGACGGGCUAGAGUACGGAAGAGGGUUUCGGAAUUCCCGGUGUAGAGGUGAAAUUCGUAGAUAUCGGGAGGAACACCAGUGGCGAAGGC